This 525-nucleotide long non-coding RNA is filed under the name Homo sapiens (human). RNAcentral's name for it is "DMXL1 divergent transcript (DMXL1-DT)". Lineage: Eukaryota; Metazoa; Chordata; Mammalia; Primates; Hominidae. The record is from RNAcentral.
GCUUCUACAGGAGAACGCCGUGCGUUUGAGCUUGAACCUGAUAAGCCUGGCAGAAGCCUGAUGAACCCAGAAUGAGUGAGAUGUGAGACAGAGUCUUGUUCUGUCGUGCAUGCUGGCGUACAGUGCCACAAUCACAGCUCACCGCAGCUUCCAACUUCUGGACUCACAUGAUCCUUCUGCCUCAGACUUCCAAGUACUUGGGACUACAGUCACGAAUCACCACAGCCAGCUUGGAGUGACUUUCUAAGGGAUAUUGAAGCCAUCCAUUGCUUUGUCUUCCAAGUUCAUCAGUGCCUGCACAACAUGGUAACAACAAAGUCAAAGACAUUCCAGACACUCUUCCGGAAAAAGGAAAAGCUAGGAUAGCCACAUAAGAAGGAUCUCCAGGAUGAAAAUAAACAAGAUAAACCAAGUUGCCACCUCCAAGCUCAGCUUCAAUAGCCACAGUUAGGUAUUUGUGGAUUCCAGCAAUUCUAUUUCAACCAUCAAUACGAUCAUAUUCAAAAAGAUGAGGAAGAUGACGAA